GUUGCAUCAUUAAGUUAAUAAUUAAUAUUGUAUCUAGAUGACAUUAUCAAACCAAAUGAAAACUCGAGAAUAGAAUGAGGGAGAUUAAGAGGACAAAAUUCCAAGCAGAAGAAUAUUGCAGAGAGUUCUCCACUCAACUAAUGCUAUCUCAUUGAAUAUCUUCAAGUGUUUACCGGCCAAAUUAUACAAUGAACGCAGAGAAAAGGCAAAAAGAAUAUCCUAAGGAAUUAAAAUGGACAUGAGUCAACACCAACGCAAGUAAGCCAGUGCAAGUUGUAGUUUCCAUCCACAUGUAAGCAGCAGCAGCUGCUCUGUGAUGAAACAAUGAUCUACUGAGGUGGUUGGGAAUGAGGCGGAGGACAUGGUGGUAGUGGUGGAGGCAUACCAGAU
This 390-nucleotide unclassified non-coding RNA is filed under the name Hevea brasiliensis (rubber tree). Lineage: Eukaryota; Viridiplantae; Streptophyta; Magnoliopsida; Malpighiales; Euphorbiaceae. The record is from RNAcentral.